UCGGCGCGUCCGGCUCUGACCUGCCGCCCCCUGGCGGCCGCGCGUGGACCCGCUGGCCCCCUUGUGCGACAUGUGCUGCUGCCGGCCCGGGCUCCAUGAGCGUGGCGGGCACUUGGCAGUGUGGGGUGUUCACCCUGUCCGAUUUUCUCUUGAUAAGCUGGCUUGAGGGGGAAAGAACCGGAGAGGGGAGCGGGCUGGUGGCUUCUGUGGGACCGGGAGAGGAGGAAAUUAGCAACGUGGCCACGAGGAUCACAGCAGUUGGGGAAACAACUCUUUAUCCCGGCUUGCAGCCACGAGGUCUUGAUGGGGGGAGGGGUGGUGAAGAAUGGUCCCUCGGUCGCUCUUUUCCUCUGGUUUGAGCUACUGCCCCGUAGAGUUGAAGGUUGAUGGUGGUCGUAUGAACAGUAUUUAAGGGAACACAUUAAUUCAUGCACGGAUAUUUGACUCUUUGUAAUUUUUCAACUUUAUCCUCUUGUUACCGUUUUUUACCCAAUACAUUGUUGGCCUGCCUCUGUUCUUGAUUUUGUUUUUUGCUUUUGCAAAUGGAUGGGAUUCUCAUUUACGAACGAUAGAAAUGAGCACAUUGGAAUAGGGUGUAGAAAGUGGUAGUAAUUCUGAGCAAAUGAGCUUAUCCUUUCUCUGUCUCACCCCCUCCCCCCAACCCUAGUCAUACACGUGGACCUAGCAGCACCCGAGGCUUUACCCAAGGAUACUUGCAGAGAAGGAAGUUUGCCUGGUUGGUGUCUGCCCAUUUGGAGGACAGAAGAAAAGAAAUCGCUGCCUUUUGGAUCUGGAGUUUUCCUCUAAAAGGUACUGACAAGUGCAGCUGCCCUGCUGAUGAUGGUUCUCAUUGGGGUAUAGCAUGAUUUUUGUGGACUUGGGAAACCCUAGUGUAAGGAAGAGCCAACAUCAACAUGUACAAUUUGGACCCUUGUGCUUUUAGAUGAUUUUUCUCUUGUUGGAUUUAAGCUGAAAUGUAUGUUUGUCACAGGUGUUAGAGCUUUGGGCUGUUCUUCUAAUUAUUUAUUUCAAAUUUAGCAGGACUAAAGAGAACACCACCUUGAGACCCUGAAGAGUGACCAGUCAGAAUAAUGUCAAAGUGCUUACAGUGCAGGUAGUGAUAUGCGCAUCUACUGCAGUGAAGGCACUUGUAGCAUUAUGGUGACAGCUGCCUCGGAGGGAGCCAAGGUGGGCCUGGAGUCACAGUGAGGGCUGCUGGUGCUGCUGAGUGCUUUUUGUUCUAAGGUGCAUCUAGUGCAGAUAGUGAAGUAGACUAGCAUCUACUGCCCUAAGUGCUCCUUCUGGCAUAAGAAGUUAUGUCCUCACCUAAUCCGAGCCAAGCAAGCAUGUAGGGGUCUUAAUAGUUUUGUGUGCAGCCCUCUGUUAGUUUUGCAUAGUUGCACUACAAGAAGAAUGUAGUUGUGCAAAUCUAUGCAAAACUGAUGGUGGCCUGCUAUUUACUUCAAGUGUUGUUGUGUUUUCCUCUUUUUUUUUUUUUUUUUAACUAAUUCUGUACUUUUAUUGUGUCGAUGUAGACCCUGCGUGGUGUGUGAUGACAGCUUCCGUAGCACUAAAGUGCUUAUAGUGCAGGUAGUGUCUAGCCAUCUACUGCAUUACGAGCACUUCCAGUACUGCCAGCUGUAGAGCUCCAGCCUCGGCCUUCGCCCACUCACACUGUCCUGGUACUGAGCACUGGUCUAUGGUUAGUUUUGCAGGUUUGCAUCCAGCUGUAUAAUACUCUGCUGUGCAAAUCCAUGCAAAACUGACUGUGGUGGUGACAAGUCUGUAGAAAAUGAGGGAAACUCAAACCCCUUUCUACACAGGUCGGGAUUUGUCGCAAUGCUGUGUUUCUGUGUGGUAUUGCACUUGUCCCGGCCUGUUGAGUUUGGUGGGGAUUGUGACCAGAAGAUGUGAAAUUAAUAUUGCUGAAGAUGCCGGUUUCCACUGUAAAGAGAUUGUGUGAACUCUUUGUAACUUCUGUUGCUUUCACUGGUGUAAAACUUAUGAAGGUGUUUUGGAUUUUUUUUUUAUUAUUGUUAAUUAGGUUUGUCUUUUACUAAGUCAUUUCACCUUGGGGUUUGUAUCUCAGACAUUUUUGCGGGCUUACACGCACGGGUACCCAGUAUGAUAGCGUUAGAAUGGUGCCCUUUGCUGACUUGGAGUCUAGAGGAUCCCAGGGCUGUGUUACUCAAACACUAUUCAACUGGAUUGAUGGGAGUUACGAAAACAUUUUCUUUUAAUCUCUGUGUAGAGUUUUCCUGUUACACCAGGUGAGGUGUUUUCUGAUGGUGCUGUUUCCCCGUAUGUGGUCUUGGGAGCACUGGGGAACAGGCUUCAGCUCUGUUGAGUGCAUACCCUGUUUAAGGGAAAGAUGACAAGCUCAUGACAACAGAGUGACAGGUGUGCCUGCUUUCCUGCUGCCCUGGAGUGUCGUGUCCUGCCAUUGACAGCAGAGAAAGUUUUCUCCAAGUUUCCUGUUGGAGCUCCCUCUGUCUAGAUUUGGGCAGCACAGUUGGUUCCAGCUGUGUGAAUAAAUAUCAUUGGAAUAAAACUUAAAGAAUAGUAAACUUGGUAAGGGUGAGCUCAUAAACCAGAUCUAAGGUAAUAGUACUUAAGCAAGUAUAUCACCUUGGAAAAAGUAUUAUCUUAAAAAUUUGGAAUUGUCGUAGCCUUUGUAGUAGACCACCUAGAGUUUAAGUUUUCCAUCUCUUAAGUGCUACUUUUUAAAAGAAAUGUAAGAAGCUUAGUCUUGGAUUCCUGAGCAGCAAGGUAAGGACUGAAGAUGGAGGGUGACUGUAAGAUGCAUGUAUGUUCAGGGUAAAGGGCGAUCAGAAUUGUACAGUUAUUAAUACAAAGGGAACGUGCCUUUAACCUGAGUAUUGAGCUUUAUGAGGUGAAGAAAGUGGAGACCAAUCCUUUAAAAUGAUGAGUUCUAUAAUAUGACAUUAUUCAUGUGUUCUAUAAGGGGUCUGUUGAUUGUGUUCUAAAAUUUUGAUAUGUUCAUCUUUAAAAGUAGGAAGUCUGCUGGGUGCUUUUUUACAUAUGCUAAGUUACAAGUUUAAAACUAAUGUGAUCUUAAAUUAGUAUCCUUGGAUGCUGAGUCUGUGUCAUGGUAUUUUUGUUCAAUGUUCUUCACUAGAUUGUAUUCUAGCAAAGCAAUUUGUUUCUCUCGGGUCCCACAGUGAAGUUAAGUUUUUUCCAAGUAUUUUUUAAUUCUCCUUUAAGUUCGGGGGUACAUAGGAACAUGAACAGAGCUGUGUAAACCUUGGUUCAACAGAUAGGGUGUCUUACUACUAAUUUAAAAACAGUUUUGCUCUUACACUUUGGUCUUGUAGCUUAGGCCUAUAGGCAUUCAGGAAAGAGGGAACAUGUAGUUUUCUUGUAUGUUACAUGUAGAUAGUUGUUAAAUUUACCCUCUAUUAGGAAGGAACCACUGUGAGACUGUAAAAAUCCUUACUAAGUGUUGACUUAACUAAAAGUCCCUGAGAUGUUCAUUUUAACAGGCCAGCCUAGGCCAGGCAACCAUCUGGACUUUUCACUGUGCAUGGUUUGAAGAGUCAGUGCAACCUGCAGCUGUCUGGAGAAAGAGCAAGUCACUGUCACUAAAAACCUGUUGUAUGUAUAAUGAAAUUCUGUUGUGUAACUGAUAACGCUAUGUAGUUUGUCUGCCUUCAUGCAGCUUUCCAGUUUAUUUUUGUAUAAAUGUCUGCUUUGCUCUCUGCUCGGUCAGAAUUGAUGUGCUUUUUCAUUAGACUGAAUGGUUAUAUCAUUGCCAGUUUUGUAUAGGAUCUAUUUAGAGGGCCCUGUGAGUUUUAAAGCAUAGGAACAUGGUUGCCGGGGUUUGAGUGCGUGAGUCAUCAGACAUGGGCAGAACAUGGAGCCUGCAGAGUGCUGCUCAGGUUCCUUUGAUGCUAAAUAAACACUGUGUUAAAUUUUCAUUUCUUGUACCUGAUGAGCAUGUUGAAAUAAAGUUAACUUGUGGCACUGGU
Molecule: long non-coding RNA, 3989 nt
Organism: Alexandromys fortis (reed vole)
Lineage: Eukaryota; Metazoa; Chordata; Mammalia; Rodentia; Cricetidae
Exons: 2
Source: RefSeq, a predicted model, not a curated record